Molecule: ribosomal RNA, 640 nt
Filed under: Rhizobium sp. HPC 876
Lineage: Bacteria; Pseudomonadati; Pseudomonadota; Alphaproteobacteria; Hyphomicrobiales; Rhizobiaceae
Description: bacterial SSU rRNA
Rfam family: Bacterial small subunit ribosomal RNA
Source: RNAcentral
UACCCGUAGAUUUUCACCCCGGCCCGAAUUGUUUUAACGGGGGUCCCGUAAGUUUUUACGGGGUGCCAAUAUACUUAUCUCUGGGGAAUAACUCAGGGAAACUUGGGCUAAUACCCUAUGCGUCCUUCGGGAGAAAGAUUUAUCGGAGAUGGAUGAGCCCGCGUUGGAUUAGCUAGUUGGUGGGGUAAAGGCCUACCAAGGCGACGAUCCAUAGCUGGUCUGAGAGGAUGAUCAGCCACACUGGGACUGAAACACGGCCCAAACUCCUACGGGAGGCAGCAGUGGGGAAUAUUGGACAAUGGGCGCAAGCCUGAUCCAGCCAUGCCGCGUGAGUGAUGAAGGCCCUAGGGUUGUAAAGCUCUUUCACCGGUGAAGAUAAUGACGGUAACCGGAGAAGAAGCCCCGGCUAACUUCGUGCCAGCAGCCGCGGUAAUACGAAGGGGGCUAGCGUUGUUCGGAUUUACUGGGCGUAAAGCGCACGUAGGCGGAUUGGUCAGUUAGGGGUGAAAUCCCAGGGCUCAACCCUGGAACUGCCUUUAAUACUGCCAGUCUUGAGUAUGGAAGAGGUGAGUGGAAUUCCGAGUGUAGAGGUGAAAUUCGUAGAUAUUCGGAGGAACACCAGUGGCGAAGGCGGCUCACU